Molecule: non-coding RNA, 45 nt
Organism: Schistosoma margrebowiei
Lineage: Eukaryota; Metazoa; Platyhelminthes; Trematoda; Strigeidida; Schistosomatidae
Source: Rfam
AUCCAGUUGACGAGUCCCAAAAAAAACGAAACGCGCGUCCUGGAU